This 463-nucleotide ribosomal RNA is filed under the name uncultured bacterium. Its description in RNAcentral is "partial 16S ribosomal RNA". It matches the Rfam family "Bacterial small subunit ribosomal RNA", at positions 28 to 507 of the family's 1533-position model. The record is from RNAcentral.
GACGAACGCUGGCGGCGUGCUUAACACAUGCAAGUCGAACGGAAAGGCCUUUUCGGAGGUACUCGAGUGGCGAACGGGUGAGUAACACGUGGGUGAUCUGCCCUGCACUCUGGGAUAAGCCUGGGAAACUGGGUCUAAUACCGGAUAGGACCGCACUUUAGUGUGUGUGGUGGAAAGUUUUUUCGGUGUAGGAUGAGCCCGCGGCCUAUCAGCUUGUUGGUGGGGUAAUGGCCUACCAAGGCGGCGACGGGUAGCCGGACUGAGAGGUUGGUCGGCCACAUUGGGACUGAGAUACGGCCCAGACUCCUACGGGAGGCAGCAGUGGGGAAUAUUGCACAAUGGGGGCAAGCCUGAUGCAGCGACGCCGCGUGGGGGAUGACGGCCUUCGGGUUGUAAACUCCUUUCGCCAGGGACGAAGCGUUUUGUGACGGUACCUGGAGAAGAAGCACCGGCUAACUACGUG